UUGCAUAAAUAUGUAUAUGUAUAUGUGAUCUGUUGCAUUCUUCUGCUAUCAUCAAUUUAUGGCUGUUUAAUCUUGUCUAGUUUUUUGAAAAUUUCCCAUCUUUUUAUGUAUUUUUAAUAUUUGGAGAGAACGUUCGAUUAGAUUUGAUCAGUGAAUUUGAGCUGAUAUUUCUUCUGACUGAAUUGGAGUGAAGAAAUGCGACGAGUGAACGGAAUAGGAGGCGAGAGGAGGGCCGGAGGAGUUAAUAAUACUCUCGAGACAAUAAACGCAGCUGCAAAUGCGAUCGCGGCGGCGGAGAAUCGUGUGCCUCAAGUUGGUGUUCAGAAAAGAAGAUGGGCUAGCUGCUGGAGCUUAUAUUGGUGUUUUGGAUCUCAUAAACACACCACGCGCAUUGGACACGCUGUUCUUGUUCCUGAACCUAUAGCUCCAAGGGCCGAUCCUCCUGCGGUUGAAAAUCAAACUCAAGCACCUUCUGUGGCACUCCCUUUCAUUGCACCUCCCUCCUCUCCUGCUUCUUUCCUUCAGUCAGAACCUCCAUCUGCAACUCAAUCACCACCUGGCCUACUGUCCCUCACAUCUAUGUCUGCAAGCAUGUAUUCCCCUGGUGGGCCUGCCUCAAUGUUUGCUAUUGGCCCCUACGCCCAUGAGACACAAUUAGUUACUCCACCUGUUUUCUCAACCUUUACAACCGAACCAUCUACUGCUCCCUUUACUCCGCCACCAGAGUCUGUCCACAUGACUACUCCAUCUUCACCUGAGGUGCCAUUUGCUCGGCUACUUGACCCAAUAGACCAAAAUUGUGAAGAUGGUCAGAGAUAUCCUUUGCCUCAAUAUGAAUUUCAAUCGUAUCAGCUUCAACCUGGAAGCCCUGUCAGCCACCUAAUCUCGCCCAGCUCAGGCAUCUCUGGUUCAGGUACUUCAUCUCCUUUCCCUGAUGGUGAGUUUGUUUAUGGACGGCCCCACUUCCUAGAGUUCAGAAGUGGUGAUCCUCCCAAGCUUUUGAACCUUGAAAAGAUUGCACCUCAUGAAUGGGGUUCUCGGCAAGGAUCUGGUACUAUCACGCCCGAUACUGUGGCACCUAGAUAUCGCAAUGGGUUUCUUCUGGAUAAUCAGAAAUCUGAUGCUUCUACAGUUUCAAAUUCAUAUAACGUCACGAGAGUUGAUGAAACUGCUGUUGAUCACCGAGUUUCCUUUGAGAUAACUGCAGAAGAAGUUGUUAGAUGUGUUGAAAAGACGCCAGCAGUCUUUCCCAAGGCCGUAUUAGCAACUACUCCAUCGAAUACUGAAUGUGUGGUUAAAACAGAGGAUAAUCCAAAGGAAAUGGCAAAUGGACAUGAAGGCUGUGCUAGCGAAGCCUCAAGAAUUGGUUCUGGUAGAGCUUCUGUAGAUGGCGAUGGUGGCCAGUGGCAUCAGAAGCAGCGAACAAUAACCCUUGGCUCUGCAAAAGAAUUCAACUUUGACAGUGUUGAUGAAGGGAAUUCUGAUACACCUAAUAUUGGAUCUGACUGGUGGGCCAAUGAGAAAGUUAUGGGGAAGGAUGGUGUGGCAGGCAAAAGCUGGACUUUUUUCCCUGUGAUGCAGCCAGGAGUCAGCUAAUGGCUGCAUUGGGUUUUACACCUGUGCAACAAGCUUGUUGCAUGGCUUGAUUCUCUGAAGUCUGAACCCAGCCAGCAAGGAGCAGAACAAAUGGUUGAGCUUUACAAGGUUCUGAUGUUGAUGAUACAUGGCAGCACUGACCAAAAAAUGGAGGCUGUUUUUUGCACAUUUCUGACCGUAGAAAUGAGUGAAGUGUUCUAAUCUUAUUUCAUCUGGAAACUUUGGAGGAUACUACUGUGCUUACCUGAAUAUGUUCGUCAAGCUCCAUAUCCUGUCAGAAUGGAAGUGAGGCUGCCAAUUCUUGUCCUAGCUCAUCAGUUACUGAAGCAGUCUCGAUGCAUAAUCAUUGAGUUCCUCAGUUGCCUGGACUUGUGCCGACAUUAGGUGAGUUGCUUAGCUCCAAGCGCUCAUGCCAACUGUUUGGACUCUUGGGGUUUGUAUUUUACCCUGAACAACAUCAUCGACCCUAGAAUUAAUUGGCUUGUCACGUUGCAAGAUCCAAAUUUUAAAUCAUGUUAUAGUUGCUGCAAUUUGACAUUGUCAAAUUUUUAUUUUUUUUUUGCGUGUCAACAAAUUGACAAUAAUGUUCUCUUUGUAAAUGAAUCUUACUGUGCUUGACCAUAUAGGAGAGAUGAGUUAAAGCCGGCACCAUGGCGAUGUCUCACCAUGGCCAGCA
RNA transcript from Coffea eugenioides, 2272 nucleotides. It is a transcript of the gene named proline-rich receptor-like protein kinase PERK8, with no coding region annotated. The record is from RefSeq and is a predicted model, not a curated record. Lineage: Eukaryota; Viridiplantae; Streptophyta; Magnoliopsida; Gentianales; Rubiaceae. The transcript is spliced from 4 exons.